This 346-nucleotide unclassified non-coding RNA is filed under the name Zea mays. RNAcentral's name for it is "misc RNA Zm00001eb028120". Lineage: Eukaryota; Viridiplantae; Streptophyta; Magnoliopsida; Poales; Poaceae. The record is from RNAcentral.
CUUGUGAAUGCAAUCUGAACGUGCAUGCCAGCAAAAACAGAUGAUUACCAAACUAAACCUUCAAAGACUCAACAACCAUUCUCUUAUGCAUGUUCUUACCCUCUACUCAAGGACGAGGUUCCACGCUCCCCUGCUCAGCACAUAACGGAUGAGGAACUUGAUGAUAUCCAGCAGAAAGUAGGAAAUGAUAUUGUACAACCAGAUGUGUCGGCCCAGCCUCAUCUAAUGCCCUUGAUCGCAGCAAAUGCCCAGUUGGUGUAUACAGUAAUCAGAGUAGCAAUCUGCAAGCAUGACAAGCAUGAGCAGCAAGAUGAGACACAGAAAGGCGACAACAUCGCGGUAAGGC